Molecule: long non-coding RNA, 184 nt
Organism: Branchiostoma belcheri (Belcher's lancelet)
Lineage: Eukaryota; Metazoa; Chordata; Leptocardii; Amphioxiformes; Branchiostomatidae
Exons: 3
Source: RefSeq, a predicted model, not a curated record
GAACAUGAGUUUGAACCUAAUUUCGAAGCUGAAGGCUGGAACUUUCGACGGGUUGGACAACCUGGAAGUGCUUGACUUGACAGGAAACAAUGUCCAUGACGUAGACGUAAAUGUCUUCGUGAGACUUCUCAACCUGCGAGAUCUGAAAACUAAUCAGUACAAAUUGUGCUGUUUGGCGCCCCUG